This is a non-coding RNA of Emiliania huxleyi CCMP1516, 73 nucleotides long. NCBI's taxonomy places the organism in Eukaryota, Haptophyta, Isochrysidales, Noelaerhabdaceae. The record is from Rfam.
GCCGCCUUAGCUCAGUGGACAGAGCGCCGCUCUCCUAAAGCGGGGGUCGAGGGUUCGAACCCCUCAGGCGGUA